Molecule: long non-coding RNA, 1547 nt
Organism: Neogobius melanostomus (round goby)
Lineage: Eukaryota; Metazoa; Chordata; Actinopteri; Gobiiformes; Gobiidae
Source: Ensembl
UAUUAUUAUUAUUAUUAUUAUUAAUAGUAAUUAUAGUAGUAGUAAUAACAAUAAUUAUAAUAAUAAUAAUAAUAAUAAUAAUAAUAAUAAUAAAAGAAAACAUUUAAAUAAGAAUAAAAAAGAAAAACACAAUGAUCCAAGAACUCAUACUAACUCUGUCGCUGUCAAUGAUCAGAUGGGAAAAUAUCCGCCGUCAUUAGGCGUGUUCUGCCUCCAUCUAGUGGCCGCACUGGGGAGGCGCACCCCUCAGCUCCAGGUGUCUGUAAUCACGCGCUGAUUACGGAGCACCUGUUUAAACACGGCCCAGAGCUGUCGACUUUACUGUUCAACAUGAGUACCAGACGGACGCUCCACAGAUCGCCCCCCGCCCCGAACUGUGUACAGGCUCUGGAUUUUUCCGAGAUACAAAAUGAGGAAAAAUAUGACCCCAACUGUAGAAGGAGUAGCUUCAUGACUCCUCCAAUCAGACAAGACCCAUCGGACGAGCCCGAGUCUAUGGUGAAGGGGAUGAAGGGCUAUCAGAUGACGGCCGCUGACCUGGAGUUCAUGCAGAGGCUAAAAGAGGAGAAGGAGCUCAAGAAACUGCAGGAAGAGGCAGCAGCUUUGGAGAAUGAACUCAAAUGUCGUCAGAUGGCUCUGGAGCGGUCUCUGGCUGUCAAGGAGAAAGCUGAGGCUGAACUGGAGCAGUUGGCAUCCUUCGAGGACAUCAGAACGUGGGCUCUGGUGGUCCUUGAAAAGACCUCACCAUCAUCCACGGACCUCUCAGACCUGGACAUAAAGGCACUGCUGGCCUUAAUCACCUGCGAAAAUGUGGGCAAAGUCCUCUCUGAGAAAGACCUGGAGCUCGUAGGGCUGGAGGACAAGUUGGCUCAGAAGAAGGAAAUGGACGCCGAGGAGAGGGAACGGCUGGAACAGAGUAUCGGCAUUAAACAGGCGAAGAUCCUUGGAUUGAUGGGCACGUUGGCAGAGCUGAAGUCCUCCCUGACUCGACAGCAGGAACUAAAGCUGAAAAACCAACAGCAUCCAGAAAAAGCAGGUGUAAAACGUGGCCCAAAACGUAAAGACAAGCCUCCUGUAAAGACGGAAACAGUUCAAGCAGACAAAGGCUCGAGCAAAGGCACGUCAGGUGUCCGGGCUGAAGUUCAGAGGAAGGGCAAAGUGAAAAUGUCGGCAGCAGCGGCGGAUCGAGAGGCUCCACAAAAAGGGAAGGGGGCUCUGCCCAAGCCCAAGUCCGAAGAGGCGACAGUGACGGCGACUCAUAACAGACGAAAAGCUGUGGCUGUGAGUAGUGCCCCUGCGGAGAACCAGGAAGUCGUGCUGCGGCGGUCCAAAAGGAUCGCCUGUAGAAAGUAGCUUAGUGACUUACAAGUAGUUUAGUUUUUACAAGUUUUUAUGGAAUAAAGUUCAACAUAAAAUGUUUAAAUUCAUUAAAUAAUUUGGACAAUUCACUCACAUGUUUGUGUAUUCUUUCCUUCUGAAAAUGUAGUCAAGUUGGUCCUGAGGUUACGCUAAUCUUGAAGACCAAAUAAAAAUGAUUUGAUCAAUGU